RNAcentral lists this ribosomal RNA (363 nucleotides) under uncultured rumen bacterium. RNAcentral describes it as "partial 16S ribosomal RNA". The record is from RNAcentral.
UAUUCCCCACUGCUGCCUCCCGUAGAAGUUUGGACCGUGUCUCAGUUCCAAUGUGGCCGAUCACCCUCUCAGGUCGGCUACUGAUCGUCACCUUGGUGGGCCGUUACCCCGCCAACUAGUUAAUCAGACGCAGGCCCAUCCUUAGCCGAUAAAUCUUUGGCCAGCUCAACAUGUGUUAAGUUGGCAUUAUGAGGUUUUAAUCAUCGUUUCCAAUGGCUAUCCCUCUGCUAAGGGCAGGUUGCCUACGCGUUACUCACCCGUCCGCCGCUUUCCACUACACAGGAUUGUCCGAAAACGCUUCAAAGUAGCUUCUCGCUCGACUUGCAUGUAUUAGGCACGCCGCCAGCGUUCAUCCUGAGCCAA